Molecule: transfer RNA, 98 nt
Filed under: Variovorax paradoxus
Lineage: Bacteria; Pseudomonadati; Pseudomonadota; Betaproteobacteria; Burkholderiales; Comamonadaceae
Description: tRNA-Asp
Source: RNAcentral
UCAUGACGCUGGCCGGCGCCUUCGUGGGCGGCGUGCUGUCGAUGCGGCUGGGCGUGAUGCGCGUGCUGAUGCUGGGCGCGGUGCUCAGCGCCGCGAGC